Molecule: ribosomal RNA, 252 nt
Filed under: uncultured bacterium
Lineage: Bacteria
Description: partial 16S ribosomal RNA
Rfam family: Bacterial small subunit ribosomal RNA
Source: RNAcentral
UACGUAGGGGGCAAGCGUUAUCCGGAAUCACUGGGCGUAAAGGGUGCGUAGGCGGUCUAUCAAGUCAGGGGUGAAAGGCAUUGGCUCAACCAAUGUAAGCCUUUGAAACUGAUGGACUUGAGUGCAGGAGAGGUAAGUGGAAUUCCUAGUGUAGAGGUGAAAUGCGUAGAUAUUAGGAGGAACACCAGUGGCGAAGGCGACUUACUGGACUGUAACUGACGCUGAGGAACGAAAGCGUGGGUAGUGAACAGG